CGGCCGCGCGGCGGCGUGGCCGGAGUGUCAGCGCGGCGUGUCCCCGCCGGCGGCUGAGUCAGGGCGGCCGCCCCCGCCCCCUGCCGUGCCCUUCCCUUCCCUCCCCGGCAUCCGUGUGGGAGCGGCGGGGGCGGCUCGGCGCUUCCUCCUGCAUGAGGUCACACGGCGGGGGAGGGAGCUGCCUCCCCGGUGCUGUCCCCGCUCCCCACCGGGCUGAGUUCUUCCCCAUGUCAGCCAAUCCCAAUUGGCAGAUGGGCUCUGGAAGCAAGUGAUGUGUUCCUGGACCUUGCUGGUUAUUGCUCAUGGCCCUUUGUCUGGAGCAUUUAUGGCUGUGCCUGAGUCACUGCAGUUCCAGUCCUGCUGUGCCUGCUCCAUGGAAGGCUUCAGAGGCUGUCGGCAGUGUUGAUGUUUGCACUGCUGCCAUAGCAAACUGCUUCAUGGGGUCAGGGAAACCUCAAACAUCCCUAGCGAAGCCAAAGGGCAGGACAUCAAGGGGUAUUUUUUACUUCAGAUGA
This 515-nucleotide long non-coding RNA is filed under the name Lonchura striata (white-rumped munia). RNAcentral describes it as "domestica (Bengalese finch) lncRNA (ENSLSDG00000008374.1)". Lineage: Eukaryota; Metazoa; Chordata; Aves; Passeriformes; Estrildidae. The record is from RNAcentral.